GAUGAACGCUGGCGGCGUGCCUAAUACAUGCAAGUCGAGCGAACAGACGAGGAGCUUGCUCCUCUGACGUUAGCGGCGGACGGGUGAGUAACACGUGGAUAACCUACCUAUAAGACUGGGAUAACUUCGGGAAACCGGAGCUAAUACCGGAUAAUAUAUUGAACCGCAUGGUUCAAUAGUGAAAGACGGUUUUGCUGUCACUUAUAGAUGGAUCCGCGCCGCAUUAGCUAGUUGGUAAGGUAACGGCUUACCAAGGCAACGAUGCGUAGCCGACCUGAGAGGGUGAUCGGCCACACUGGACCUGAGACACGGUCAGACUCCUACGGGAGGCAUCAGUAGGGAAUCUUCCGCAAUGGGCGAAAGCCUGACGGAGCAACGCCGCGUGAGUGAUGAAGGUCUUCGGAUCGUAAAACUCUGUUAUUAGGGAAGAACAAAUGUGUAAGUAACUAUGCACGUCUUGACGGUACCUAAUCAGAAAGCCACGGCUAACUACGUG
This 496-nucleotide ribosomal RNA is filed under the name uncultured bacterium. Its description in RNAcentral is "partial 16S ribosomal RNA". It matches the Rfam family "Bacterial small subunit ribosomal RNA", at positions 28 to 507 of the family's 1533-position model. The record is from RNAcentral.